GUUCACUGCCGUACAGGUAGCUUAGAAA
Methylomicrobium album BG8 is the source of this 28-nucleotide non-coding RNA. The record is from Rfam. Lineage: Bacteria; Pseudomonadati; Pseudomonadota; Gammaproteobacteria; Methylococcales; Methylococcaceae.